RNAcentral lists this ribosomal RNA (497 nucleotides) under uncultured bacterium. RNAcentral describes it as "partial 16S ribosomal RNA". It matches the Rfam family "Bacterial small subunit ribosomal RNA", at positions 28 to 507 of the family's 1533-position model. The record is from RNAcentral.
GACGAACGCUGGCGGCGUGCCUAAUACAUGCAAGUUGAGCGCUGAAGGUUGGUACUUGUACCGACUGGAUGAGCAGCGAACGGGUGUGUAACGCGUGGGGAAUCUGCCUUUGAGCGGGGGACAACAUUUGGAAACGAAUGCUAAUACCGCAUAAAAACUUUAAACACAAGUUUUAAGUUUGAAAGAUGCAAUUGCAUCACUCAAAGAUGAUCCCGCGUUGUAUUAGCUAGUUGGUGAGGUAAAGGCUCACCAAGGCGAUGAUACAUAGCCGACCUGAGAGGGUGAUCGGCCACAUUGGGACUGAGACACGGCCCAAACUCCUACGGGAGGCAGCAGUAGGGAAUCUUCGGCAAUGGACGAAAGUCUGACCGAGCAACGCCGCGUGAGUGAAGAAGGUUUUCGGAUCGUAAAACUCUGUUGGUAGAGAAGAACGUUGGUGAGAGUGGAAAGCUCAUCAAGUGACGGUAACUACCCAGAAAGGGACGGCUAACUACGUG